RNAcentral lists this ribosomal RNA (492 nucleotides) under uncultured bacterium. RNAcentral's name for it is "partial 16S ribosomal RNA". It matches the Rfam family "Bacterial small subunit ribosomal RNA", at positions 29 to 507 of the family's 1533-position model. The record is from RNAcentral.
AGUGAACGCUGGCGGUAGGCCUAACACAUGCAAGUCGAACGGCAGCACAGUAAGAUCUUGCUCUUACGGGUGGCGAGUGGCGGACGGGUGAGGAAUACAUCGGAAUCUACUUUUUCGUGGGGGAUAACGUAGGGAAACUUACGCUAAUACCGCAUACGACCUACGGGUGAAAGCAGGGGAUCUUCGGACCUUGCGCGAUUGAAUGAGCCGAUGUCGGAUUAGCUAGUUGGCGGGGUAAAGGCCCACCAAGGCGACGAUCCGUAGCUGGUCUGAGAGGAUGAUCAGCCACACUGGAACUGAGACACGGUCCAGACUCCUACGGGAGGCAGCAGUGGGGAAUAUUGGACAAUGGGCGAAAGCCUGAUCCAGCCAUACCGCGUGGGUGAAGAAGGCCUUCGGGUUGUAAAGCCCUUUUGUUGGGAAAGAAAAGCAGCAGGUUAAUACCCCGCUGUUCUGACGGUACCCAAAGAAAAAGCACCGGCUAACUUCGUG